Long non-coding RNA from Myotis daubentonii (Daubenton's bat), 2836 nucleotides. RefSeq lists it as uncharacterized. Lineage: Eukaryota; Metazoa; Chordata; Mammalia; Chiroptera; Vespertilionidae. The transcript is spliced from 3 exons. The record is from RefSeq and is a predicted model, not a curated record.
UAUAGAUAUAGAUAUAGAUAUAGAUAUAGAUAUAGAUAUAGAUAUAGAUAGAUAUAGAUAUAGAUAUAGAUAUAGAUAUAGAUAUAGAUAUAGAUAUAGAUAUAGAUAUAGAUAUUAGGGGAGUUUAUGACACAGUGGGGGCCUCAAGUGACACAGCAGGAAGGUUGGUGAGAGAGAAACAGGGGGAGCAGUACUGAAGUGUAUGGAGGAGGAAUGACUGGAGGGGAAGUCAUUGUCCACAGACACUGUGGAUGGUGGGCUCCGAGGCUGAUUCUAAAGGUAUGACGGGGAGCCUCUAGCUCCCAGGGCCCGGUGGGAGCUGCAUAGAGACCUCAUUUGGGUGGACUACAGUGGUCCUUGGAUAUCUGCAUCACUCUCACAGGAUGCUUAUUAAAAAUGCCUGUUCCUGGACUCCACUCCAGAUCUAAGAAAAUGCACUUCUGGGUGACAUUAGUCAGAUCCAUGGUGAUUCUUAUGUACCCUGAAGUCUGGGAAUGUCUUACUGGGAGUCUUGGUGGUCUUGGGCGUGUAGUUGGUGAUAUCCAAUGAGGUGACAUAGAUACAGAAUCCAACAUAGGGCCUGCCUGGUCGAUUAUUAGUUGCUAUACACACUGCAUUCCCUUGAUCAUACCAGUGACAUAUAGGAGGGUGUAUAGGUGCAGGCACAGUCUGUUACCAGUGUAAACCAAAAUUAAUUUUAGACUGUAUUAGAGAAUAAAAAAUAUUUGAGCACAAAGGAGCUGCAGACCUGGAGUCAGAGUCAGGUAGCAAUUUAAAUUGCGUUCUACUGAGACAAAGGGGAGGUACCUUUUAUAGCAAAAGUUCCCACCAGGUUCUCAAUGAGGUCCGUUUUAUGUAAAUGAGGUGUCCAAAUUGUGCAGUUCUGAUGGCACAGGGCAGGUCUUAGUCCAUUAGUAGAAAGACAAAACCAGUGCUGCCCUGCAGUGGUUGACUCAGACAGCGUAAACAGUGGGGCAUAGUGUGGAAAGCAGGGAGCUCAGUCUGAGGUUCUUCCUGGUAUACAGAGUAUGUCAGGAGCCCCUGUCAGCAAAUGGCCACUAGGCUCUUAUUAUUUAUAAAACUUGGGCCCUCAGUUGACCAUAGGGCAUCAUCUCAACAGAUAAAUUCCUUCUUGGGGUCCACAUCAAUGAAUCUUUCUUCUCGGGAUCCACAUGCUAUCCCAUAAGGUGGGGCAAAUAUGACAUCACUUUUCCCCUUACAAUACCUCUCAGUCACGCUUCUGGGAAUCCCCUUAUUGCUCUUGUCUCUCCUCUCGCCUUUCACAAGCCUCGUAAUCUUUCCAUCUGCCAGUCUCUCAGGGCCCUGUUGCGUGUUUGAGGGCCAGGUUCAUCCUUGCGGCAUGUGUAGCACCUGGACAGAUAGCACUGACUGCCUCUCCUCACUCCCUUCAGUAUUCUGCUAACAAUUUACCUCUUUUCUGUGUCUCAUUGAAGGCUCUUAAGAAGUGGGUGGAGGGAAAAAGGGAAGAAAGGGGUGGAUGAAGGGACAAGGCCCCCUGCCCACCUUGUCCCCUAAAUCUUUCUCAUACUUUAGGCUGGUUCAUGUCCCACCUUUGGCAGGCAACCCCUCCAACCCACACCAAUUGGAAACUCUUUUGAAAUUUGAAUUAAUUCAACUCACAUUCAAAAUCAGAAUUUGAAUGAAGCAAAUGUGUAUUUAGCUGAGCUGGCCCUAGAUGCUUUGGGCUAUACAGAUAAAAUAUAUCAAUGAAUCGUAAAGGGAAAACUCAGAGCACAUUCCUUCCUGGUAUCAAUCAUGGUAUCAAUCUUCAGCAGACAAUCAUGAGGUGUGCAGGUCCCGGAGGGCAGGAAGUCCAUGCGAACGUCAGUAAGGUAUGAGAACGAGUAACAAGCGAAUAACCCCAAACUCUUGACCCCCUUUAGGUGUUCAGCCAUGUAAAUGAAGAAACAUGAAAUCCUAGGGCUCGGGCAGUUGAAGGGAGUGUGGUGGGGGUUUAAGGAAACCAAUGUUAAUGUUGUUAAUGCUAAUUUAAUGGAGACCCCUAAAACCUGCAUUUGAGUGCCCACCUGUGGUUCUGAUGCUCUCAGGCACGCAGUGGGCUAAUGUGGGGGUGGGGUGGGAGUGGGUAGAGGACAUGGCAACCUGCCACCAUUUUACAACACCGAGUGACUGUGAAGAAAUCAUGAAGUCAUUGGCCUUUACAUGAUGGGACAAGAGUCUGAGAUUUGUAUAAGAAAUUUUUAUUAGAAUGAAUCAUGUGGUGAUCCAUGACAUUAGAAAGAAGUUCAACUUUAUAGACAAGAAAUUUCAUUUACAAAAUCAGCAAAGAUGAAUAAAAAUAAGCUGAGGGCCAGGAGAUGACAACAACAACCUUGGAGGCCACAUGAUGAAGACGGCAGAACUUUGCUUACCCUGGAUGCCCAAUGGUGAAGAGCUGUUCUUGGGUUAUUUUGUCAGUGACAGGUCAACUUGUAUUCUAUUUCUUCCAAUAUACAAGUGUUGGGUGUAUUUGUACAGCAGCUGAAAUUACUGUAAUAAUACAGAUUCGGAAACCAUCAUGUAUCUUUUCUAAAAUAUUCUCACAAAAUUCUUGCAAAAUGCCUAUGAGAACCGCCCUGGAUUUUACUUUCUUAGUUGUUUAUUGAUGCUACAAAAAAAGAGACUAACUUGGAUAAUGAAACUUAACUUGAUCAAUGAAAUUAUCUCAAAUGAGAUAAUAAAGUUAUUAUUAGAUUUUAACAUUCCCAUCAUUUCUGCUAAGAAAAUAAAGUUUCAGAAUACCAUCUUUCCCCAUUGGGUGUGUAGUGUUCUUUUGCUCAGACAUUUGAUAAAGGAAGAACUCUCACAAGCAAGG